Molecule: long non-coding RNA, 1271 nt
Filed under: Homo sapiens (human)
Lineage: Eukaryota; Metazoa; Chordata; Mammalia; Primates; Hominidae
Description: HSALNT0394898
Source: RNAcentral
AGCUUGUAGCGUGUAGUGAAUUGCAGGAGUUAAGAAUUAUUUUUGAGGCUGGCUACCAUACCUCCUACAGAGACUACAGGGACUUAAAAAUUUUAAGGAUGCUCAUGAUCACUAGCUAACAUUUUUAAUCAAUGCAUUGAUGAAUUAAUUAUCUUCUGUUCUUGCUCAAGAGACAUACUCUUUUGGUCUUCAUGAUUGUGUUCUUAUGCAAAUAGGCGAUGAGCUCACUCCUGGAACCACAUCAUGAGAGGUAUUUUUCUUCAACCACUGCUGAGAUAAAGUUCUACACAUAAGAACCACUCCUGGAAAAGACACAUCUCUGGGCUGACCAAAGAUCAUAAUCCAUCUCUGUGCAACAUGGAAGACAAGACACCUCUAAGAAAAAACAUGGAAUCAGUUGGGAAGAUCUACUCAUCGGUGGAAGGGCCUGAGCUGGUACACAUUGUCUCUUUUCCUCCAGCAGACUGGCUGGGCUUUGUUCCUGUGGCGGAGGCAGUCAUAAAGGUGGGGGAAAGAGAGAGAGAGAUUGAGAAGAGAAUCAAGCAGCGUCUUCCGAGGCCUAAUCUGAGAUACCAAACAGGAACUUUUAUGACAGUCUAUUGGCCAAGCAAGUCAAGGCUAGCCCACAUUCAAAGGUUUAGAAAAUAGACUCAACUUCUCAAUGGGAGGUGCUGUAAUCAUAUGACAGGGAACAUGAAUCAAUGGAGGGGUGAAGAAUUAGAGCCAUUCUUUUGCAAUGAAUUUCACACAAGGAAUAUGUACUACAUGACCAAGGUGGCCUUAAAAUUCCCCUCAGGUUUGCUAAACUUUAGACAGGCUUUUUUCCCUGCUUUUAGGCCCCUGACUGCAUUUUCCUUAGAGCAUUUACUCUUUCUCUGAUGCUUUGAAAUGUGUGUAAAUCUUCUCCCAGCCUUUUGACAGUUUUGCAAUCCAGGAAUAUCUUUCACAAGAACCAGGGAGUCAUCCAUUUGAAAUGCAAUCAUGAAGGAAGGUAGCACCCCUCUCUCCUAGACUCUGUAGGAGGGCAGAAGCCUUACCUUGAACUCCACUUAGCAAACACAGAAGGCCUCAUCCCAGAGAAAAGUGUUUGCAAUCUCAGGAAUAGCUGAGUAUAUGUGACACAUUCCACUGCUCAUAUUCCCUUCCCUAUGCCCUACAGUACUUUUAUACUCCCCAUAGCACUUAAAAUACUUCCAGCCUUUUGUUUCAGCAGAGUUGAAUUCACCCUCCUAUUUCACUAGUUUUGAUUAAAGUCUUUCUUACCUCUUUAA